UUGUAUUACAUAGUCAGCCAAAACGGCCUCAUUUAAUGAGAUAAAUAAAACACUGUACAACUUUGACCACUUUUUUAUUUAUGAAUGAAACAGAAAGUAAGGAAAUUUGGCCAACAAAUGUUAAUUCAACAAAUAAUGUGCACUAUUUCUAGAUUUAAAUGUAUGAAGGGAAUAUCAGAACUUGACAGCUGUGAAAACGGCUCACAACUUCUGAACUACUGAAGCAUUAACCAUAUCUUUUCUUUGUUACCAGCUUCCAUCUGUUCCUGGAGGAAACCUACAGGACAAGGCCUGUUCCUGGUCCUAGCGGGGUUGACUGUGGUGCAAGAAGCAGAAAAAAGCAGCUCCAGAAAUAGGUCUGGUAUUAAAGGACGGCUGUUAUCUGCCUUGUCAGCGUCUCAGACACUGUUGUCCUGUUGAUGGGGAAAGGCGGGCAGGUCCAUUUCCCGGCUUGUUCCUCUCAGACCCGGUCCUCAGGUUGCUACGUUCCCGUUUCAGCCUUAUUGUCUCUAUUAUCAAUCUCGGAGGGCACGUUUAUCACUCUGUAUCUCUUGUACGAUUUUCCAUAGCGCAACACUGGAACCCCGCCCCUGAUACACCCCCGGCCGCUGGUUGGCCGGACACUAUUUCCUCAUCGUCAAAAUCACAUGUGGUUGACGCAUGUUUACAAACAUCGGUGAAAUCACAUGGUAAAAGGGCGCCGUUUUUACCGUAAACUACCUCCAUUUGACGCAGCUUCCACAUGUCGUGCAAGACUCUGAUAUUCUUUUUUUUAGAGUAGCCUAAACAUUUCUAUGUAUAAGGGCCCCAGCCUGUCGACAGUCACAUAGUGUAAUACAUUAGGAUAUUCUAAAGCAACCUAUAGGAACCUGUUCCAACCCGAGGAAUAAAAAGGUCUAAUAAGAAAUGAAAAAAUCCGAUAGGCCUACGGAAAAUGUGUACAUCUCAAUGCAUGUGCAUGUGUGCAUAAUAGCUGUGUGUAUUUGUAUACAGUAUGUGCAUGUUGUAAACAACUGUGUGUAGCCUACUUGUAUGUACCUGUAUAACAUAAUGUUCGUGUGGAUUAGAAACUGAAGUCCUUCUUCUUUAAUCAUGCCUUUUUAAAUUCAUUAAAAAGGAAACAUCCAACACGGAUAGAACAAUUGUUCUGAACUUUUUACAACCCAUAUCAAGCCAGAAGUCAUUGCUUUAUUUUAAAUAGGCUAGGUCAUUGCCCAAAAGGUUAAUUUUAUGCUAUGUAUAAUCUACUGUUGUCAAUUCUUACUUCUGAUCUCACUAUAUCCCCUUGUGAUUGAUAGUGUGUCUUCUUAAUAGACAUUGUCACAGCCAUAUUUGUAUUGUAUAUUCAUUAUGGCAAUGUGAUUACUUUUCUUGUAUAACAAGUGUUUUGUAAUCCGUAGAACCUGCAUCAAUUUGUGAGGUGACGAGACAAAAAAUAA
Long non-coding RNA from Notothenia coriiceps (black rockcod), 1439 nucleotides. RefSeq lists it as uncharacterized. Lineage: Eukaryota; Metazoa; Chordata; Actinopteri; Perciformes; Nototheniidae. The record is from RefSeq and is a predicted model, not a curated record. The transcript has 4 exons.